CUUGGUCAUUUAGAGGAAGUAAAAGUCGUAACAAGGUUUCCGUAGGUGAACCUGCGGAAGGAUCAUUAAAGAGUAAGGGUGCUCAGCGCCCGACCUCCAACCCUUUGUUGUUAAAACUACCUUGUUGCUUUGGCGGGACCGCUCGGUCUCGAGCCGCUGGGGAUUCGUCCCAGGCGAGCGCCCGCCAGAGUUAAACCAAACUCUUGUUAUUUAACCGGUCGUCUGAGUUAAAAUUUUGAAUAAAUCAAAACUUUCAACAACGGAUCUCUUGGUUCUCGCAUCGAUGAAGAACGCAGCGAAAUGCGAUAAGUAAUGUGAAUUGCAGAAUUCAGUGAAUCAUCGAAUCUUUGAACGCACAUUGCGCCCCUUGGUAUUCCGAGGGGCAUGCCUGUUCGAGCGUCAUUACACCACUCAAGCUAUGCUUGGUAUUGGGCGUCGUCCUUAGUUGGGCGCGCCUUAAAGACCUCGGCGAGGCCACUCCGGCUUUAGGCGUAGUAGAAUUUAUUCGAACGUCUGUCAAAGGAGAGGAACUCUGCCGACUGAAACCUUUAUUUUCUAGGUUGACCUCGGAUCAGGUAGGGAUACCCGCUGAACUUAAGCAUAUCAAUAAGCGGAGGAAAAGAAACCAACAGGGAUUGCCCUAGUAACGGCGAGUGAAGCGGCAACAGCUCAAAUUUGAAAGCUAGCCUUCGGGUUCGCAUUGUAAUUUGUAGAGGAUGAUUUGGGGAAGCCGCCUGUCUAAGUUCCUUGGAACAGGACGUCAUAGAGGGUGAGAAUCCCGUAUGUGACAGGAAAUGGCACCCUAUGUAAAUCUCCUUCGACGAGUCGAGUUGUUUGGGAAUGCAGCUCUAAAUGGGAGGUAAAUUUCUUCUAAAGCUAAAUAUUGGCGAGAGACCGAUAGCGCACAAGUAGAGUGAUCGAAAGAUGAAAAGCACUUUGGAAAGAGAGUUAAAAAGCACGUGAAAUUGUUGAAAGGGAAGCGCUUGCAAUCAGACUUGUUUAAACUGUUCGGCCGGUCUUCUGACCGGUUUACUCAGUUUGGACAGGCCAGCAUCAGUUUCGGCGGCCGGAUAAAGGCUCUGGGAAUGUGGCCUCCACUUCGGUGGAGGUGUUAUAGCCCAGGGUGUAAUACGGCCAGCCGGGACUGAGGUCCGCGCUUCGGCUAGGAUGCUGGCGUAAUGGUUGUAAGCGACCCGUCUUGAAACACGGACC
RNAcentral lists this ribosomal RNA (1212 nucleotides) under uncultured fungus. RNAcentral describes it as "eukaryotic LSU rRNA". The stretch from base 562 to 1212 matches the Rfam family "Eukaryotic large subunit ribosomal RNA", at positions 1 to 667 of the family's 3401-position model. Lineage: Eukaryota; Fungi. The record is from RNAcentral.